UAAUUUUUUAGUUUGGUGAGU
This 21-nucleotide non-coding RNA is filed under the name Caenorhabditis elegans. The record is from RNAcentral. Lineage: Eukaryota; Metazoa; Nematoda; Chromadorea; Rhabditida; Rhabditidae.